UUAUCAAAUCCUCACCCCCAUAAUCCUAACCCCUCAAAACCCCGACUCCUCUUUUUUUCCUCUCUCACGUUCGUGUCGAUGUUCCUACUCAAAAUCUCAAUCUCUAUUUCGAUCUCUCUCCAUCGCAGGUAGUCUCUUCCUCCUCUCCUCUCCCCCCCUCCUACCGUCGGCCACCAUCAUCUCGUCUCUCUCUCUCUGAACCUAGGGUUAGGGUUUCGUAGACUUCGAAGAAUCGACGGAUGGAGAUUCUCUCGAGAUCCAGUGAAGAAGAUGAGGACGAGUACUUGAGACGCGAGGGUUCCUCUCAAAGAGGGGAUUUUAUAGUGAGAUUUGAUGGGAAGAAUGCGGAGCAGAAGCAGCAGUUGCUGAUGCCGAGAUCGAAGCAUUCUACAAUGGAGCAACGGCGGAGGAGCAAAAUUAAUGACAGGACUCAAUAAAUUCUUCGAGACAUGAAGUUGGACACAAUGGAGAGAAAAGAGGAGAAGACUUGAAGGAUAAAUAGAGGAUUCUACAUAUGGUUUCUUUUAAUAGUUUAUGUUGUAGUAAUUUGGCUUGUUGUAGCAAAUCAUGGUUACUUGUUGUAGCAAAUCAUGGGUAUCAACUAUCUAUAGCAAGUU
Long non-coding RNA from Asparagus officinalis (garden asparagus), 617 nucleotides. RefSeq lists it as uncharacterized. The record is from RefSeq and is a predicted model, not a curated record. Lineage: Eukaryota; Viridiplantae; Streptophyta; Magnoliopsida; Asparagales; Asparagaceae. The transcript has 3 exons.